Molecule: ribosomal RNA, 229 nt
Filed under: uncultured bacterium
Lineage: Bacteria
Description: partial 16S ribosomal RNA
Rfam family: Bacterial small subunit ribosomal RNA
Source: RNAcentral
CUCGUAGGCGGCCUGCCAAGUCUCACGUGAAAGACCAGGGCUCAACCCUGGGAACGCGAGAGAAACUGGCAAGCUGGAAUCUUGGAGGGGGUACUGGAAUUCCUGGUGUAGGGGUGAAAUCUGUUGAUAUCAGGAAGAACACCGGAGGCGAAGGCGAGUACCUGGCCAAAGAUUGACGCUGAUGAGCGAAAGCGUAGGGAGCGAACAGGAUUAGAUACCCUGGUAGUCC